RNAcentral lists this ribosomal RNA (253 nucleotides) under uncultured bacterium. RNAcentral's name for it is "partial 16S ribosomal RNA". It matches the Rfam family "Bacterial small subunit ribosomal RNA", at positions 524 to 776 of the family's 1533-position model. The record is from RNAcentral.
UACGUAGGUGGCAAGCGUUGUCCGGAUUUACUGGGCGUAAAGGGCGUGCAGGCGGUCUGUUAAGUGCAGGGUGAAAGCUCCCGGCUCAACUGGGAGAGGUCCUUGCAUACUGGCGGACUUGAGGGGGGUAGAGGAAAGUGGAAUUCCCGGUGUAGUGGUGAUAUGCGUAGAUAUCAGGAGGAACACCGAUGGCGAAGGCAGGUCUCUGGGCAUUAACUGACGCUGAGGAGCGAAAGCAUGGGGAGCGAACAGG